Molecule: unclassified non-coding RNA, 269 nt
Filed under: Hevea brasiliensis (rubber tree)
Lineage: Eukaryota; Viridiplantae; Streptophyta; Magnoliopsida; Malpighiales; Euphorbiaceae
Source: RNAcentral
GGGCUUAAUUUCAAGAACCUGAAUAUAACAAUGUACAACAAUAAAAUAAAUAUGUAAUAUGAGCAAAGAAUACUAAGCCAAUGAAGAGAACUAUCUGUUAUUAAUCACUGUCAUGAGAUUUGAACAUAUAUGUUUUGCCCAGGGUCUGUAAUCAAGUACAAGUAUACAAUCACCUUAAGAUUGAAACAAUUAUAAAGGAAAAUGAACUCAAGGAGAUGGACUCAAGGAGAUGGCUAAAAACAAUCACCAUUCUAGCUUGUUAGCCAAAU